Molecule: long non-coding RNA, 344 nt
Filed under: Cyanistes caeruleus (blue tit)
Lineage: Eukaryota; Metazoa; Chordata; Aves; Passeriformes; Paridae
Description: lncRNA (ENSCCEG00000017937.1)
Source: RNAcentral
AGCGAUUGUGGAGGUCAGGACUGAAAGGCCUUCACACCCCUGGCCUUCCAGUCAGCAGGGAAGGGAGGUGGAUGAAUGGGAGAGAGACAACCAUAUUGAUUUUUGUCAUUGAUACAAAAGAAAACUCUCCCUUCACUUGGCUUGGACUGUUAUCAUUGCUGAAUUUCUGUAAGCAGUUACACAGUGGCUGUUCAAUGAGCCAUACCUAACAAAGUAAUGAGGUUUAAUUAGCCCAGCUUAAUCUGACACUGUGCUGCUGGCACACUAUCUUCUUGUACAGCUGGCUAGUGAUGCAUGUAUGCAUAUGAAAUAAAGAUCACUCCUUAAAAUUUUUCUUUGCUUCU